GAUUGGGAUAUUUGGAAAAAAAUAUUUAUUAUCAUUAUUAUUUUAUUUUUGAAAGGAUAUUGAAAUGCAUGCACUUCAUUUUAUUCCCCAUUCCUUCUUCCUCCUUCGACACACCCUAGCAGCGGCUCCUCUUCACCUUUCUACCAUCGACGACUGCAGCUGCUCAGUCCACGCUCAAACGAAGUUGUCCACUUCGCGUCAAAGGUCGAACGAUUUUGAAGCUUCGUCUUCGUCGCAUCCUCUUCUCUGUCACAAGUCUCCACCAUGCAUUGUAGAUCAAAGUCGUUUCCAUCACAAGCUGCGCAUCCCGAACGUUCCUUCGCAAGCCGAAAGUGUUCUAGCCGACGUUCCUCCGUCUGCCGACUACUGAAGCUCAACCUGUAGUCGAUCUUCCUCUGAGUCACAUGCGUGCAAGAAAUCUGAUCUACCCCUCCUCGCGAAGCCGAGCCACGUGUCCCAUCCAAGCUAACCUCCUCCUUGAAGUGAGUCGAUGCUCCCGUGUUCAAGCCAUCUCCAUCCUAAGCCAUUUAGCAAGCCAAAACUCAUUUUUCCUUAAGCCAUUGGGGCUAUCUAAUAUUUUGGUAAGUUUGUUGGGUUUUGUUCGCCCAAAUAAUUAUCCCUUGGAUUCUAAAUAAGUUUACAAUUUGAAAUGAGUUGGAUUAUUUUUACUUGAAAGUUGACUAAUUUUGUUGGAGUAUUAUUAGAGUUGUGAUUUUCUCCCAACCAAGGUUGAAUUGGUUUCAAACUCCUCCGUUGGUUUUACUUGUUGGAAGCUGGAAUAAAUUUGAUUUAGUUAAUCUCGAGGUAAGAGAUUCUACUAUUAGACCAUUAUAUUAUGAUUUCCCUUAGUAUGCAUUAACGUAGCUAUGAUGCAUGUUAAGGAUGUUAGCCAAUGAUAGCUACAUAGAAAAUCUUUUAUGUUAUGAAUGUGAUAUACCAUGGUUGAGAUAAAUGAGGUACACUACGGUUGAGAUGCCUUA
Cucumis sativus (cucumber) is the source of this 980-nucleotide long non-coding RNA. RefSeq lists it as uncharacterized. Lineage: Eukaryota; Viridiplantae; Streptophyta; Magnoliopsida; Cucurbitales; Cucurbitaceae. The record is from RefSeq and is a predicted model, not a curated record. The transcript has 2 exons.